Nothobranchius furzeri (turquoise killifish) is the source of this 938-nucleotide non-coding RNA. The record is from RefSeq and is a predicted model, not a curated record. NCBI's taxonomy places the organism in Eukaryota, Metazoa, Chordata, Actinopteri, Cyprinodontiformes, Nothobranchiidae.
GGGACACCCAUGUCUGGAAAUUGUUUAUGGUUGACGUCCUUUGAUCUGAGCUGGAGAAGAGGAAGGAAGGGGGGGAGACCUCCCCCAUCUGACUGAUGACCCACAAAGAAGAAGGGAGCUGGGAGGAGUCUCAAGGCCGGAGAAUGCUUCCGAGGCGGGAGUUGUCAUGGAGACGAAGAUGGGGCAGAAGGAGGGUGUAGUGAAGCGAUAAAAGAGGGGGGCCCAGUUGGUUCGGGGCUUUUGGCUUUUUUUGAGGAGUUCUGGGGGAGUUCUGAGAGAGUCUGUACCUGUUCGGUGUUUUUGACCCGCUGCGUCGGGAAUUUGGAAUAUUUUUUCUUCAUCAUCUAAAAUUAAACUUUUGUUCCUUUUUAUAAGGAGCUUUAAAACGGAUCUCCUGCCUGGGGUCUCCUUGGUGUCGCGUAUCCGCAGAAAGACCAUAAUCGAGAGCAUUCGCUGGCCACAGCCUACAUGUGAUAGUGAUGAGGAGGACGACCCUGUUCCAGUGGAUAACAUCAGUACAGUCACAGGAUUUUUGAGGAAAUUCAUAGAGGAAGAGUUUGCUGUCCACACGAAGCUUAUCCACCAAGAUGACAACCCUUCUAGCAUCCUGGAUAAACUUUUUGCGCAGCAGGAAGAGGACUCGGCGCCGAUCCAUGUGUGGCAGUGUGAGUGUCCUGUCACAGUGUCCUGAUUAAUCAUGCACCCUGGCUACUUGGCCAAGGGGAUGUCCCAUUGGCUGACUGGUAAGAGUGCGUGAGUCUGGGGAUCGAAUUCCACCCGGGCCCGCAUUUCUCCACCUUGCCACAUUUGGUGUUGUUGGCGGGAUCCAUGUAGUAUUGUCAAGUAGGUCCAUGGAUAUGAAGUUUGUGGCACCCUGCUCGAGAGCACGAGUACGUGCUUGUGGAAAGAGGGGGGAAGAUUUGGCGUCUGGGGAUCGA